This 1643-nucleotide ribosomal RNA is filed under the name metagenome. Its description in RNAcentral is "bacterial LSU rRNA". It matches the Rfam family "Bacterial large subunit ribosomal RNA", at positions 1304 to 2925 of the family's 2925-position model. The record is from RNAcentral.
GAGUAACGAUAAAGGGGGUGAAAAACCCCCUCGCCAGAAGUCCAAGGUUUCCUACGCAACGUUAAUCGGCGUAGGGUUAGUCGGCCCCUAAGGCGAGGCAGAAAUGCGUAGUCGAUGGGAAACGGGUUAAUAUUCCCGUACUUCAUAUAACUGCGAUGGGAAGACGGAGAAGGUUAGCUCAGCAAGGCGAUGGUUGUCCUUGUUCAAGCGUGUAGAAAUGGUUCUUAGGAAAAUCCGGGAACCUCUAUUUCAAGGCGUGAUAACGAUCCCUCUUUUGGGAGAAGUGAGUGAUACCAUGCUUCCAGGAAAAUCCUCUAAGCUUCAGGUUAUAUGAAACCGUACCCCAAACCGACACAGGUGGACGAGAUGAGAAUUCUAAGGCGCUUGAGAGAACUCGGGUGAAGGAACUAGGCAAAAUGACACCGUAACUUCGGGAGAAGGUGUGCUCUUUGUAUGUGAAAUCACUCGCUGAUAGAGCGGAAGAGAGUUGAAAAUACUAGGUGGCUGCGACUGUUUAUUAAAAACACAGCACUCUGCAAACACGUAAGUGGACGUAUAGGGUGUGACGCCUGCCCGGUGCUUGAAGGUUAAUUGAUGAGGUUAGCGCUUGCGCGAAGCUUUUGAUCGAAGCCCAAGUAAACGGCGGCCGUAACUAUAACGGUCCUAAGGUAGCGAAAUUCCUUGUCGGGUAAGUUCCGACCUGCACGAAUGGCGUAACGACGGCCACACUGUCUCCACCCGAGACUCAGUGAAAUUGAAAUUGCUGUUAAGAUGCAGUAUACCCGCGGCCAGACGGAAAGACCCCGUGCACCUUUACUACAGCUUUACAUUGAACUCUGAUCCUACUUGUGUAGGAUAGGUGGGAGGCUUUGAAGCUCUAACGCUAGUUAGAGUGGAGCCACCCUUGAAAUACCACCCUGGUAUGGUUGGGGUUCUAACCUAGGUCCGUAAUCCGGAUCGGGGACAAUGUAUGGUGGGUAGUUUGACUGGGGCGGUCUCCUCCUAAAGAGUAACGGAGGAGCGCAAAGGUAUCCUCAGCACGGUCGGACAUCGUGCAAUGAGCGCAAAGGUAAAAGGAUGCUUGACUGCGAGACUGACACGUCGAGCAGGUAGGAAACUAGGUCUUAGUGAUCCGGUGGUUCUGAGUGGAAGGACCAUCGCUCAACGGAUAAAAGGUACGCCGGGGAUAACAGGCUGAUACCCCCCAAGAGUUCACAUCGACGGGGGUGUUUGGCACCUCGAUGUCGGCUCAUCACAUCCUGGGGCUGAAGCAGGUCCCAAGGGUAUGGCUGUUCGCCAUUUAAAGUGGUACGCGAGCUGGGUUUAGAACGUCGUGAGACAGUUCGGUCCCUAUCUACCGUGGGCGUUGGAGACUUGAGGGAAGCUGUUCUUAGUACGAGAGGACCGGAAUGGACACACCUCUGGUGUUUCGGUUGUGACGCCAGUCGCAUUGCCGAGUAGCUAUGUGUGGAAAGGAUAACCGCUGAAAGCAUCUAAGCGGGAAGCCCCUCCCAAGAUUAGGUCUCCCUGAUUAUUUAAUAAUCCUAAAGAUCCCUCGAAGACUACGAGGUUGAUAGGCUAGGUGUGGAAGUACAGCAAUGUAUGAAGCUAACUAGUACUAAUUGAUCGUGAGGCUUGACCAU